AGGACGAACGCUGGCGGCGUGCUUAACACAUGCAAGUCGAACGAACUUUCUUCCUUCGGGUUGAAAGUGAGUGGCGAACGGGUGAGUAACACGUGAGCAACCUGCCCUUGACACUGGAAUAACAGUUGGAAACAGCUGCUAAUACCGGAUAUGACCUCUUACGACAUCGUCUGGAGGUGGAAAGCUCCGGCGGUCAAGGAUGGGCUCGCGGCCUAUCAGCUUGUUGGUGAGGUAACGGCUCACCAAGGCUUCGACGGGU
Molecule: ribosomal RNA, 259 nt
Filed under: uncultured bacterium
Lineage: Bacteria
Description: partial small subunit ribosomal RNA
Rfam family: Bacterial small subunit ribosomal RNA
Source: RNAcentral